This 344-nucleotide ribosomal RNA is filed under the name uncultured bacterium. RNAcentral describes it as "partial 16S ribosomal RNA". It matches the Rfam family "Bacterial small subunit ribosomal RNA", at positions 338 to 682 of the family's 1533-position model. The record is from RNAcentral.
CCUACGGGAGGCUGCAGUGGGGGAUAUUGCACAAUGGGGGAAACCCUGAUGCAGCGACGCCGCGUGAGUGAAGAAGUAUUUCGGUACGUAAAGCUCUAUCAGCAGGGAAGAAAAAAAGGCCUUUGGACUAUGGACGGUAGCGGACCAAGAAGCCACGGCCAACGACGUGCCAGCAGCCGCGGGAAUACGUAGGGGACAAGCGUUCUCCGGAUGGACUGGGUGGACAGGGAGCGGAGACGGCAGCGCAAGUCUGGAGUGAAAGGCCGGGGCCCAACCCCGGAACUGCUUUUGAAACUGUGCAGCUGGAGUGCAGGAGAGGUAAGCGGAAUUCCUAGUGUAGCGGU